GACGGAGGAUGCAAGUGUUAUCCGAAUCACUGGGCGUAAAGCGUCUGUAGGUGGUUCGAAAAGUCCACUGUUAAAAAUUGAGGCUUAACUUCAAAGAUGCCGUGGAAACUUUCAAGCUAGAGUAUGGUAGGGGUAGAGGGAAUUUCCAGUGGAGCGGUGAAAUGCGUAGAUAUUGGAAAGACCACCGAUGGCGAAGGCACUCUACUGGGCCACUACUGACACUGAGAGACGAAAGCUAGGGGAGCAAAUGGG
Molecule: ribosomal RNA, 252 nt
Filed under: uncultured bacterium
Lineage: Bacteria
Description: partial 16S ribosomal RNA
Rfam family: Bacterial small subunit ribosomal RNA
Source: RNAcentral